CUAACACAUGCAAGUCGAGCGGUAGAGAGAAGCUUGCUUCUCUUGAGAGCGGCGGACGGGUGAGUAAUGCCUAGGAAUCUGCCUGGUAGUGGGGGAUAACGUUCGGAAACGGACGCUAAUACCGCAUACGUCCUACGGGAGAAAGCAGGGGACCUUCGGGCCUUGCGCUAUCAGAUGAGCCUAGGUCGGAUUAGCUAGUUGGUGAGGUAAUGGCUCACCAAGGCGACGAUCCGUAACUGGUCUGAGAGGAUGAUCAGUCACACUGGAACUGAGACACGGUCCAGACUCCUACGGGAGGCAGCAGUGGGGAAUAUUGGACAAUGGGCGAAAGCCUGAUCCAGCCAUGCCGCGUGUGUGAAGAAGGUCUUCGGAUUGUAAAGCACUUUAAGUUGGGAGGAAGGGUUGUAGAUUAAUACUCUGCAAUUUUGACGUUACCGACAGAAUAAGCACCGGCUAACUCUGUGCCAGCAGCCGCGGUAAUACAGAGGGUGCAAGCGUUAAUCGGAAUUACUGGGCGUAAAGCGCGCGUAGGUGGUUUGUUAAGUUGGAUGUGAAAUCCCCGGGCUCAACCUGGGAACUGCAUUCAAAACUGACUGACUAGAGUAUGGUAGAGGGUGGUGGAAUUUCCUGUGUAGCGGUGAAAUGCGUAGAUAUAGGAAGGAACACCAGUGGCGAAGGCGACCACCUGGACUAAUACUGACACUGAGGUGCGAAAGCGUGGGGAGCAAAC
Molecule: ribosomal RNA, 730 nt
Filed under: uncultured bacterium
Lineage: Bacteria
Description: bacterial SSU rRNA
Rfam family: Bacterial small subunit ribosomal RNA
Source: RNAcentral